AUAACCAACAUUAAUUAUCCCUAGGGCCAUGGGAUAAACAAAAACUCUGCAAAACCAAGUUAGCACACCCUAGAAUGGUUCUAGCACAAUUACUAACCUAUGGCUCUGAUACCAAUUGAUGGGAAAAACCU
RNAcentral lists this microRNA precursor (131 nucleotides) under Vitis vinifera (wine grape). Its description in RNAcentral is "miR845d stem-loop (vvi-MIR845d)". Its record names the gene vvi-MIR845d. It matches the Rfam family "MIR845_2 microRNA precursor family". Lineage: Eukaryota; Viridiplantae; Streptophyta; Magnoliopsida; Vitales; Vitaceae. The record is from miRBase by way of RNAcentral.